This 263-nucleotide unclassified non-coding RNA is filed under the name Hevea brasiliensis (rubber tree). The record is from RNAcentral. Lineage: Eukaryota; Viridiplantae; Streptophyta; Magnoliopsida; Malpighiales; Euphorbiaceae.
UUACUAAAUAUAUUAAGCAUGGAAUUGCCUUGAUGAACUCCAGCCAGCCAAUCAAGACAAGCAAAGUGGGAAUCAGGUGGGUGUUCUUAGUACAAUUUUGCUACAGUGAAGCAGGCAGGUGAGCUAGGAAAUUCACUCACAACCAGGUCAGCAAAGUAAAUUCUACAGAAGUAUUCAAGCAUCAGCCUUGUAGCAGGGCACAGAACAAUGAACACGUACAUGUAGGAACAAAUGCAUAUCUUCAGCUAUUAAACCGCAGGUAC